UAUUUUAAUUAUUUUUAAAUUUAAAAAUAAUUUUUAAAUAUAAAUAUUUAAAAAAGUUAAUUUCAGCUGAGAUCCAUGUAAAAUCCAACAAUGGAUGCUACAUAUAUUUUUCUAGGCCCAUGGGCAUGCAUCAAAGGCUACUUAUUUUUAAUUUUUUUCAAAUUUAGGCCUAGGCCACUGUGCGCAUAAUCCAUCAAAACUUGAAUAAAUGGACAUAAAAUUUGUUGAAGAGUAGCUUGCAUGCCCCUAAAUAUAUUUAUGAUUUUACUUUUUUUUGAAUUUUACUUUUUUUAUUUCUUUAUUUUUUAAUCCAAAAAUAUAUUUUUAAUUGUUAAAAAUUAUACAUAAUCCAAAAAUUAAAAAUUUUAUGUUAUCGUGUAGAUCAUCCAUAGAUCCACAACAUAUAAUAAAAUCAAUACCAAAUCAAAAAUUUUGGCAUGAUCUCUCUUUAUUUUGCAAAUUUUGAGCUAUUUUUUCAAGAAAAAAAUAGAGAAAAUGAGAUAGAAAAGACGAAGCACACCUUAUUUAGACUUAAAUCUUCCUUCAAUCGCGUUGAAUCAGUAUGAUUUCGCAAAUUGGAGAGAAGAGGAAGUCGUUUAGCCAUCUCAAGGCUAAACACACUUCAUAAAAAAAACUGUUGGGAAUCCCAACAAUUCAUUUUAAAAAAAGAAACGGAGGGGGAGAGAGCCCAAUUCCAAACUGGGUCGACUUGGUGUGAACCAGACAGUUUGCACUGAGUUCGAACAGAACCGGCCGAUUCGGUCUGGUUCGGGCAUUUUUCGGUUGAUUCUGAUCGGUUCGGAGCCAGAACCAAUUCCAAUAGGCAAACCGACUUGGUUUCCCACCAGAUCGGCGCAGUACAGGCCCGGUUCGGUCUACCUAGUAUGUAGCUACUUGAUCAGAUCUAUAAGCACUUAAGAUUGCACAAAGACCUGCAAUAUGUAUGGGUAGAGAGGAAUACAUAUGUGCAUUUUUUGGAGUCAGUUACUCCCAUGAUGCGGACUAAAAGUCCAGUUUGAAUCCCAAGUGCACAUGUGGCAGGCAUAAAAGGAAAUCUACAUAAUAAGCUCAUGCAAUUUCAAUAAAUCAAUUUGAUAUGAGUACAAGCAUGCCGGCUUCAUAAAACUGUCUGCGAAAAAUUAUAUA
RNAcentral lists this long non-coding RNA (1146 nucleotides) under Phoenix dactylifera (date palm). RNAcentral describes it as "long non-coding RNA (PDAC_LNC015712)". The record is from RNAcentral. Lineage: Eukaryota; Viridiplantae; Streptophyta; Magnoliopsida; Arecales; Arecaceae.